GAUGAAGAACGCAGCGAAAUGAGAUAAGUAAUGUGAAUUGCAGAAUUCAGUGAAUCAUCGAAUCUUUGAACGCACAUUGCGCCCGCCAGCAUUCUGGCGGGCAUGCCUGUUCGAGCGUCAUUUCAACCCUCAAGCUCUGCUUGGUGUUGGGGCCCUACGGUUGACGUAGGCCCUUAAAGGUAGUGGCGGACCCUCUCGGAGCCUCCUUUGCGUAGUAACUAACGUCUCGCAUUGGGAUUCGGAGGGACUCUUGCCGUAAAACCCCCAAAUUUUCUAAUGGUUGACCUCGGAUCAGGCAGGAAUACCCGCUGAACUUAAGCAUAUCAAUAAGCGGAGGA
This 338-nucleotide unclassified non-coding RNA is filed under the name soil metagenome. RNAcentral's name for it is "partial contains 5.8S ribosomal RNA, internal transcribed spacer 2, and large subunit ribosomal RNA". The stretch from base 1 to 120 matches the Rfam family "5.8S ribosomal RNA", at positions 35 to 154 of the family's 154-position model. The record is from RNAcentral.